UACCAUUUUAUUUUUCAAGUAUGUUCCUUGUGUACUUUGCCAAAUGUGAUGUUUAAUUUGCUGUGCACAACACAAAGGAAUGGAGACUGCAUUGUGAUGAAUGGUAGUAUCAGGGGGGCUAAUGAGGGCACGCACAUAAGCGUGUACUCCGUAAGGUACGUUUGUUCUGGUAAUCUAUGUAAGCUUUGAUCACCUGGGUGCUACUUUCUCCGACUAUCGUGGAUAUCUUAGCAACCCAGCGAUAUAUAUUUUAUUGACCUAAAUAAGCCACUUCGAAACUUUUCCAAAAAAAGCCACUUCGAAACUUGCUGCUUUGAUUUGUAUUUUGAGUCAUUGACAUAUUUGUUUCCCCGCUUGAUGCUGAAUCCAAGCCACCAUAAAUAUGCGUUGUAGAACUGAUACGCCUCCUGCUCGGAUAUUUUUUUUUUGGAACAAAGGCAAAAGACUUGCCAUUUCAUUGAUUAAGUCAAUAGCUGGUUCGAAAACAACUGUUUCCCAAGUUUUGAUGCUUCUUCAAUUGCACGCUCUAUAGCACUUCGAUAUCCUUCUAUUGGUGCCCAGAAAGAAUUGCUAGUUCUGUUUCUGUAAAGAAAAACAACAAGGCGGUGCAGCUUGUUAAUAUAUUUAAUAACAAUUAGUACUUCUGUCCUCAGCACAAAAGUCUAUAACUCGCGGAUGACUGAAAAGGAUGCUACUAAGAAUAAAGAGACAUUGGAGAAAUGAUCAUCUUACCAGUCGGUUGACUACUGCAAUGCUUCUUACUUCAUUUACCUAUCACCGUGAUUUACGAGGGAGAAAAGUCGGGGGAAAACGUAUCUGAAAAACGAUGCAGAAUUGCAGAUACUGGUAUUAAGAUGAUUAC
RNAcentral lists this long non-coding RNA (862 nucleotides) under Triticum aestivum (bread wheat). RNAcentral's name for it is "long non-coding RNA (TAES_LNC025489)". Lineage: Eukaryota; Viridiplantae; Streptophyta; Magnoliopsida; Poales; Poaceae. The record is from RNAcentral.